This 504-nucleotide ribosomal RNA is filed under the name Triticum aestivum (bread wheat). RNAcentral's name for it is "partial small subunit ribosomal RNA". The record is from RNAcentral. Lineage: Eukaryota; Viridiplantae; Streptophyta; Magnoliopsida; Poales; Poaceae.
AUGGAGUACUCGCCGAAGAUAGCAGCACUGCUGCUCUUAGCUCUCGCGUCCGCCAUGGUGGUCGUCACGGCGCAGAACUCGCCGCAGGACUUCGUGGACCCCCACAACGCUGCGCGCGCCGACAUGGGCGUCGGGCCGGUGACCUGGGACGACAACGUGGCUGCGUACGCGCAGAACUACGCGGAGCAGCGCCGCGGCGACUGCCAGCUGGUACAUUCGGGCGGGCAGUACGGGGAGAACAUCUACGGAGGCCGCGGCGGCGGGGCCGACUGGACGGCGGCGGACGCCGUGCAAGCGUGGGUCUCGGAGAAGCAGUACUACGACCACGGCAGCAACAGCUGCUCGGCGCCGGCGGACAAGUCGUGCUUGCACUACACGCAGGUGGUGUGGCGCGACUCGACGGCCAUCGGCUGCGCCCGCGUCGUCUGCGACGGCGGCGACGGCCUGUUCAUCAUCUGCAGCUACAACCCGCCGGGCAACUACGAGGGGGUGAGCCCAUACUAG